This 393-nucleotide ribosomal RNA is filed under the name uncultured bacterium. Its description in RNAcentral is "partial 16S ribosomal RNA". It matches the Rfam family "Bacterial small subunit ribosomal RNA", at positions 523 to 918 of the family's 1533-position model. The record is from RNAcentral.
AUACGGAAGGUCCGGGCGUUAUCCGGAUUUAUUGGGUUUAAAGGGAGCGCAGGCGGAGAUGCAAGCGUGACGUCAAAUUUCGGGGCUCAACCCCGUCUCGCGUCGCGCAAUGCGUCCCUUGUUUGCGGGAAGGGGAGGCGGAACUCGGUGUGUAGCGGUGAAAUGCAUAGACAUCACGAAGAACUCCGAUCGCGAAGGCAGCCUUCCGGCCCGUCAACGACGCUCAUGCUCGAAGGUGCGGGUAUCAAACAGGAUUAGAUACCCUGGUAGUCCGCACAGUAAACGAUGGACACCCGCGGUUUGGCCUGUAUGGCUGAGCCGCCAAGCGAAAGCGUUAAGUGUCCCACCUGGGGAGUACGCCGGCAACGGUGAAACUCAAAUGAAUUGGCGGGG